UGUGCGGGUGGCUGAUUAAGUCAAAGAUGAAAUCCCGAGGCUCAACUUCGGAACGGUCUUUGAUACUGGUCAGCUUGAGGCUAGUAAAGGAGAGCGGAAUUCCCGGUGGAGCGGUGAAAUGCGUAGAUAUCGGGAGGAACACCAGAGGCGUAGGCGGUUCUCUAGGCUAGUCCUGACACUGAGACACGAAAGCUAGGGGAGCAAACGGGAUUAGAUACCCCGGUAGUCCUAGCUGUAAACGAUUGGACACUAGAUGUUCUCGCGUUUAUGCGGGAGUGUCGUAGCUAACGCGUUAAGUGUCCCGCCUGGGGAGUACGGUCGCAAGGCUGAA
This 331-nucleotide ribosomal RNA is filed under the name uncultured bacterium. RNAcentral's name for it is "bacterial SSU rRNA". It matches the Rfam family "Bacterial small subunit ribosomal RNA", at positions 568 to 898 of the family's 1533-position model. The record is from RNAcentral.